Long non-coding RNA from Dicentrarchus labrax (European seabass), 424 nucleotides. RefSeq lists it as uncharacterized. The record is from RefSeq and is a predicted model, not a curated record. NCBI's taxonomy places the organism in Eukaryota, Metazoa, Chordata, Actinopteri, Moronidae. The transcript has 3 exons.
AUGUUUUAAUAUAAAAUGUAGCUGAGUUUAAUCUUUCAUCUUUAGAGUAGGGACGCGCCGAUACCACUUCUUCUAGAGCAAAUACAGGUUCAGGUUCAGGUACAGGUUCAGGUUCAGGUACAGGUUCAGGUACAGGUUCAGGUACAGGUACAGGUUCAGGUUCAGGUACAGGUUCAGGUACAGGUUCAGGUACAGGUACAGGUUCAGGUACAGGUACAGGUUCAGGUACAGGUUCAGGUUCAGGUACAGGUACAGGUUCAGGUUCAGGUACAGGUACAGGUUCAGGUACAGGUACAGGUACAGGUACUUAUAAGCUUUAAUUUGUUUAAAAUCUCCCUCUCCUGACGUACUGCAGCUUUAACUGUCGACCUGCUGGGAAACUAUGAUUCAUGGCACACGUUUUAAAUAACAGAGCACGUUGGCG